AGGAUGAACGCUGGCGGCGUGCUUAACACAUGCAAGUCGAACGGAGAGCUCAUGACAGAGGAUUCGUCCAAUGGAUUGGGUUUCUUAGUGGCGGACGGGUGAGUAACGCGUGAGGAACCUGCCUCGGAGUGGGGAAUAACAGUCCGAAAGGACUGCUAAUACCGCAUAAUGCAGCUGAGUCGCAUGACACUGGCUGCCAAAGAUUUAUCGCUCUGAGAUGGCCUCGCGUCUGAUUAGCUAGUUGGCGGGGUAACGGCCCACCAAGGCGACGAUCAGUAGCCGGACUGAGAGGUUGGCCGGCCACAUUGGGACUGAGACACGGCCCAGACUCCUACGGGAGGCAGCAGUGGGGAAUAUUGGGCAAUGGGCGCAAGCCUGACCCAGCAACGCCGCGUGAAGGAUGAAGGCUUUCGGGUUGUAAACUUCUUUUAUCAGGGACGAAAUAAAUGACGGUACCUGAUGAAUAAGCCACGGCUAACUACGUGCCAGCAGCCGCGGUAAUACGUAGGUGGCAAGCGUUAUCCG
Molecule: ribosomal RNA, 525 nt
Filed under: Pseudoflavonifractor capillosus ATCC 29799
Lineage: Bacteria; Bacillati; Bacillota; Clostridia; Eubacteriales; Oscillospiraceae
Description: SSU rRNA
Rfam family: Bacterial small subunit ribosomal RNA
Source: RNAcentral